RNAcentral lists this small nuclear RNA (121 nucleotides) under Sinocyclocheilus rhinocerous. RNAcentral's name for it is "U1 spliceosomal RNA (ENSSRHG00000005831.1)". It matches the Rfam family "U1 spliceosomal RNA". From Rfam's summary of the family: U1 is a small nuclear RNA (snRNA) component of the spliceosome (involved in pre-mRNA splicing). Its 5' end forms complementary base pairs with the 5' splice junction, thus defining the 5' donor site of an intron. The record is from RNAcentral. Lineage: Eukaryota; Metazoa; Chordata; Actinopteri; Cypriniformes; Cyprinidae.
AUACUUACCUGGCAGGGGAGACACCAUGAACAAGAAGGUGGUUCACCCAGGGCGAGGCUAGGCCAUUGCAGUCCGGACGUGCUGACCUCUGCGAAUUCGAGAAGGGUGUUCCUGCACAACC